Molecule: long non-coding RNA, 3583 nt
Organism: Pan troglodytes (chimpanzee)
Lineage: Eukaryota; Metazoa; Chordata; Mammalia; Primates; Hominidae
Exons: 8
Source: RefSeq, a predicted model, not a curated record
AGGCCCUUCCCGCGCGGUCUCAUCUGGGGCCACUUGUUGGCCCUGGCGUUGGGGAGGUUCAUGUGGUGGAUCCUGAUGAGAAGGGGGGUCACAGGGGUCUCGGGGCCAGGGUUCAGCCAGCCAGGCCCCAGCUUGCUCUCUUCUGGUGCUGCCCCUGUCCCUGAAUUCAUAGACCCGGCUUUCCCUCUCUUGAGCACCUACUAUGUGCCAGGCUGCGCUUUGCGCAUGUAGCAGAGGCAACAGUGUCACCUGGGAAGCUGCUUUCCCCCAAAGGAACUCUUGUCUGUCCGUUGUUGCAGAGCCAGCGCAUGAGACCAAGUAUGGAGUCUCACUCUGUCAUCCAGACUGGAGUGCAAUGGUGUGAUCUCGGCUCACUGCAACCUUUGGUUCCUGGGUUCAAGCCACUGUCCUGCCUCAGCCUCCCAAGUAGCUGGGACUACAGGCUUGGCAGACAUAAAAUUACUCUGUUGAAAUCACUAAAAAAUUUAUAAAUGCUUACUCUCAAUCUGUGCAUUUUGCUGUGGAUUAUGGACUGGCACCAGUUCCUGGAGCAACUUUGAGUAGCGCUGCCCUGGUUGGGGAAUGUUUAUUAAGCAGGGUGAUUCCAGUCUCACAGAAUGAGUUGGGAAGCAUCUGCUGCUUUUAUCUUCUGAAAGAGAUUGUAGAGAAUUGGUAACCUGGAUCCCAAAAUGAGAACUGAAGAACCACUUCAUGUGACUUGAACCAGAUCUGACAUCUGAAGUGAAGCCCAGAAGAGUGUAGCUGAAGACAAGUGAACCUACUUGACCUGCAAACGCACAUAUCAAAGGGCCCGCUGGCUACUAAGGAAGAUGAAUGAAGAAAGGGCCCAUACAUGGACACCUACUUCAUAGUAAAAUUUGAGGACAUGAAGUACAAAGAGGACAUUCUGAACACUUCAAGAGACAGCACCCUUAGCUAGGCAUGCAGACAGGAUCUCACUGUCACCCAGGCUGGAGUACAGUGGCUCGAUCUUGGCUCACUGCAACCUCUGCUUCUCAGGCCCAAGCAAUUCUCCCACCUCAGCCUCUCAAGUAGCUAGGGCCACAGGUGUAAGCCACCAUGCCCAGCUAAUUUUUUUUUGUAUUCUUUGUAUAGAUGGGGUUUCACCAUGUUGCCCAGGCUGGUCUCAAACUCCUGAGCUCAAAGUGACCCUCCCACUUCGGCCUCCCAAAGUGCCCAGCUCCAUCUUAGGUUUUGCAGCAAUCACCCUGGGUACACAUAUGGAGAAUGGAAUGAAGAGGUCUCUUCUUCAGUUUCUUGGACACAGUGUUGGAGUCAACAGGGAUGUGGCACAACAGGGACUUCACCCAAUGCAGAUUCCAUUUGAGAAACUGGGCCUCCAGCUUGUUCUACCAGUCAUGUGCUGGUCCUCCCAGGGCCCUGCUCUGUGCCCCCAACCCAGCUCUAGCCUCAAACUCCACCUGGGCCUAACUGUCUAGAGUGCUAGGAUACCCUUCAAUCCUCAGCAACUGGGUCAACAGGGAGGAGAAGGAAGUGAAGAGCAGGCAUGAUGGAAGACAGAACACUACCAUGAAGUUAGGCUGACCCCUUGUCCAUCUACAAAAGAGUGACAAACUCAGGUGUGGGUAAACCUAUCAGGAGCCGUUUAGGAGUUAAUGCAGAAAGCCAGGCAGGCAUUGGCAUCAGAGGUCUUGGAGAAAGACUUUUUCUUAACAUCACUUUUUUUUUUUUUUUUUUUUUUGAUACAGAGUCUUGCUCUGUUGCCCAGGCUGGAGUGCAAUGGCGUGAUCUUGGCUCACUGCAACCUCUGCCUCCCUGGCUCAAGUGAUUCUCCUGCCUCAGCCUCCCGAGUAGCUGGGACUACAGGCACAUGCAAGCAUGCCUGACUAAUUUUUUUUUUUUGUAUUUUUAGUAGAAACAGGGUUUCACCACGUUGAUCAGGCUGGUCUCGAACCUCAAAUUAUCCUGCCUGCCUCAGGAUCCCAAAGUUAAUGCUACUUCUCAAUACCGCUAUCAUCUAAUGCUAAAUACAUGGCUCUUCAUUCUGUCUUCAUUCUGGCAUUACCCAGGAAGCUUUUGAGAUUUCAGAAGUCUGGUCCCCACACCCAGAGACUGGGAAUUAAUUGGUCUGGAGUAGGGCCUGGGCACUAGCAUUUUUGAAAAACUCCCCAGGUAAUUCUUUUUUGUUUUUCUUUUUGAGACAGAGUCUUACUAUAUUGCCCAGGCUGGAGUGCAGUGGCAUGAUCUCAGCCCACUGCAGCCUUGACCUCCCGGGCUCAAGCAAUCCUCUCACCUGUUUGAAAUGCUUGUUCCCCGGUGCCAUAAAGAAAUAGCACUUGAACAUAAAUUUAAUUUAUUUAGUAAGGCCAUUUUUACUUCCUGCAGAAAGGGUACACUCGCCAGCAGUUUCGCCACGAGAAUACACCGAACAAAGGAGACAGGGUCAUUUGCAACCUGAUGCGUCCGCCCUACUGCUAUGUCUGGUUUCCGUUGGCUGGAACGGGACCUUACAUUCUGUAUCUGUCCGACUGGCUAGCAACUUAGGACUUUUUAAAAGAGGCAAAGGUAGAGGAGAACAAAGGAAGGAGGAGGUAACUUGUGGAAUGCUGAGAAAGGUAAAAGCACUUUUAAAUAAGGAAGAGGAGCAGGCUAUGACCUAAUGCUUGCUUGGACCAGUAUAAGCAUGCCAGGGCAAAUAUUUAGGUGCCCAGGUUUUUGAAUAAAUUUUGCUUCUAAGAGAAGUUACCAUUUAUUCCUAAUUAGACGGGGAGGGAAGUCUUUGAAGAGGAACCUCUACUUUACUUUUUACACACCUCAGCCUCCUGAGUGGCUGGGACUAUGCAUGUGCACCACCACACUCAGUUAAUUUUUAAAUAUUUUUGUAGACAUGAGAUUUCACCAUGUUGCCCAGGCUGCUCUCGAACUCCUGGGCUCAAGUGAUCUGCCCUCCUGGGCCUCCCAAAGUGCUGGGAUUUCAGGUGUGAGCCACUGCGCCCAGCUCCCCAGGUAAUUCUAAUGGAUAAGUACUGACGGUUGUGGAAACUACUGGCCUAAUGAAAGUAGGAUUUAGGGUCAGCAGGACUGGGGGCUCUAGCUCUGGCAGAAAACUAGAAUAUGAGACAGGAAAAGAAAACACAAACCUCAUCCCAGUAACUAGGCCAUCCUAGAUAAGUUUGGUGAUUUCUUCCAGACCCAUGGGUUAUAGUCUAUUUCAGAUUUUCUUUUCCCACCAAGUGAUAAGGCUGAGGUUCCUAGUGGAUCUCUAGAUAAGGGCACUGGUGAUUUUCAAAUGUUCCUCCUGCCUCAGCCUCCUGAGUAGCUGGGACUACAGGUGCGUACCACAAUGCUGGGCUAAUUUUUUAUUUUAUUUCUUGUAGUGAUGGAAUCUUACUAUGUUGCCCAGGCUGCUCUUGAACUUGUGGGCUCAGGUGAUUCUCCCCCUUCAGCCUCCCAAAAUGCUAGGAUUACAGGCAUGAGCCACCAUGUCAGAGGCGUGUGAACCAGAGCAACUCCAUCUUAAAUAGGAGCUGGGUAAAAUGAAGCUGUUGGAGUAGCCAUUCUUUUACUCCUUUACUUUCUUAAUAAACUUGCUUUCACUUUG